Molecule: long non-coding RNA, 1684 nt
Organism: Acipenser ruthenus (sterlet)
Lineage: Eukaryota; Metazoa; Chordata; Actinopteri; Acipenseriformes; Acipenseridae
Exons: 3
Source: RefSeq, a predicted model, not a curated record
ACGUUUUUUUUUGUUUUUUUUUUCCUUGCUUGGUCAAGACUACGAAUAAUUUUCCUAUGGUUUAUACUACAUUCUUUACAAAAGGUCAUCUGCUUCUCCUCUCCACUCCACAAAGGUCAAUGAACCACAGGGAGCACCCCCUGCAAAGCUGUUUGUAGAGCCAGGAUGGAUCUAAACAAACUCUGAUAAAUGGCUCAGCUCACCGCUACCACCCCUGCGCUGACUCGGGAGGGGCAAGGAUGAACACACGCUGUCCUCCGAAGCGUGUGCCGUCAGCCAACCGCUUCUUUUCACACUGCAGACCCACCAUGCAGCCACCUCAGAGCUACAGCGUCGGAGGACAACGCAGCUCUGGGUAGAUUACAGCAUUUUGGCGCGUUCACAAGUUUAUAAUGAUUUAAAGAAGCUUUGGUUGAAUUGUCUUACCGGAUAGUUGAUGCCAAUUAUAGAUAACUCAAGGCUAAGUUGAAGAUUAUUAUAAGACCAUGUGCUAUUUUCAACAUAUUCUCAUUGGCUUCACAAGGGUUAUGUCCUCCGAAGCGUGUGCCGUCAGCCGCCCGCUUUUUUACACUCUGCAGACUCACCGUGCAGCCGCCUCAGAGCUACAGCGUCGGAGGACAACGCAGCUCUGGGCAGCUUACAGGCAAGCCCGCAGGCGCCCGGCCAGACUACAGGGGUCGCUGGCUGUGGAAUAGCCUGGACUCGAACUCGCGACGUCCAGGCUAUAGAGCUCAUCCUGCACUCUAGCGAGUGCUUUUACUGGAUGCGCCACUUGGGAGCCCCAAUUCAUAGUUUAAUCAAUUUCAGUUUCAAUUCAAUUUCUAUCCAUUAUAAAAAAGAGUCAAAUGAAAUAGCCAAGGCUAUAGAAUAAUAAAGGGUGUUCUGACCAUUGCGUUUGGUCCUAAUUAAAAUUAUUAUAUUGUCUUUAAUUUGUGUUGCUUUAUACUGCUGCCAAGUAACACAGUGUUCAAAUAAAUAAACCAUUUCUAUGACUCUUCAAUUGAGAUAAGCAAAACAAAACACAAAUAAAGUACUCAGUACAAACUUAUUUAUAUUUAUAAUGCCUCAGAGUGUGCGAUUUAAGCCCGAUAAUGCAUUGCUGGCAUGUAUAUUGUUUUCAAAUAUGAUUUUUCAGCCAAAUGUCUGUUUCAUAUAAUGCUUGUAAGACAAAUCUGCACAUUUCAUCAUGUUCUUUUUCCUGUAUCUGAUUUUCAAACUGAUUUGAAAUUUAAUUGUAUCCAUUCUUUAGAUAGCAACAGAACCACACUUUUGGCUUUUCCUCUGAAAGUGAGUUCGUUUGGAAUUGUCUGUCCAUCUGUUACCCACAGAUACGUUUUCAGGGCACAGUCUGAACUGAUUUAAAAACUAAUCAGAACAAUCUGUGGGUUCAUCUUUGCUUGCGGUUCCAAACAUGUUUUCAUUUAUUUAUUUAUCUUAUUGUUUGGGCAGCAGUGUGGAGUAGUGGUUAGGGCUCUGGACUGGGUUCAAUCCCUGGUGGGGGACACUGCUGCUGGACCCUUGAGCAAGGUACUUUACCUAGAUUGCUCCAGUAAAAACCCAACUGUAUAAAUGGGUAAUUGUAUGUAAAAAUAAUGUGUAAAAAAUAAUGUAAUUGUAUGUAAAAAUAAUGUGAUAUCUUGUAACAAUUGUAAGUUGCCCUGGAUAAGGGUGUCUGCUAAGAAAU